RNAcentral lists this ribosomal RNA (253 nucleotides) under uncultured bacterium. Its description in RNAcentral is "partial 16S ribosomal RNA". It matches the Rfam family "Bacterial small subunit ribosomal RNA", at positions 524 to 776 of the family's 1533-position model. The record is from RNAcentral.
UACGUAGGGAGCAAGCGUUGUCCGGAUUUACUGGGUGUAAAGGGUGCGUAGGCGGCUCUGCAAGUCAGGCGUGAAAUAUAUGGGCUUAACCCAUAGACUGCGUUUGAAACUGUGGAGCUUGAGUGAAGUAGAGGUAGGCGGAAUUCCCGGUGUAGCGGUGAAAUGCGUAGAGAUCGGGAGGAACACCAGUGGCGAAGGCGGCUUACUGGGCUUUAACUGACGCUGAGGCACGAAAGCAUGGGUAGCAAACAGG